Molecule: ribosomal RNA, 471 nt
Filed under: Vibrio cholerae
Lineage: Bacteria; Pseudomonadati; Pseudomonadota; Gammaproteobacteria; Vibrionales; Vibrionaceae
Description: partial 23S ribosomal RNA
Rfam family: Bacterial large subunit ribosomal RNA
Source: RNAcentral
AGAACCUGAAACCGUGUACGUACAAGCAGUAGGAGCACCUUCGUGGUGUGACUGCGUACCUUUUGUAUAAUGGGUCAGCGACUUAUAUUCAGUGGCAAGGUUAACCGUAUAGGGGAGCCGUAGCGAAAGCGAGUCUUAACUGGGCGCUCAGUCUCUGGAUAUAGACCCGAAACCGGGUGAUCUAGCCAUGGGCAGGUUGAAGGUUGAGUAACAUCAACUGGAGGACCGAACCGACUAAUGUUGAAAAAUUAGCGGAUGACUUGUGGCUAGGGGUGAAAGGCCAAUCAAACUCGGAGAUAGCUGGUUCUCCCCGAAAGCUAUUUAGGUAGCGCCUCGGACGAAUACUACUGGGGGUAGAGCACUGUUAAGGCUAGGGGGUCAUCCCGACUUACCAACCCUUUGCAAACUCCGAAUACCAGUAAGUACUAUCCGGGAGACACACGGCGGGUGCUAACGUCCGUCGUGGAGAGG